UUCAACCAAGAGCAGUCAUAAUGUCCUCUGAUGUCCUCACCUGCCUCAGUGAGUGUACACUUGUAUCUCUAAGGACAUUCAUCAGAAAGAGGCUUCUUGUUUUUCUUUUCUGAGGAAAGGCAGAGACCAAUAAACACAGAGAACCAUUUAUAAGUAUGAUCCAAAUUUCAGAACAGUUUCUGUCACUUGGCUGUCCUGUGAAAUGUGCACUAUUAAAAAGAGGAGCUACUGAAAAUUAUAGAAAGAAAAUCAUCCUAGAAGUUCUAAUUAAGUGUGUUUACUUCAUUCAAAUAAAAACUAUACUGCAGAAAUACAAACUGUACAUGGAAGACAUGAAAUGGAAGCUGGUGCAUCUGCCUCAGUAUUGGACUCUGCUGAUAUCAUUUGUUGUUAUUUUUAGAAAUAUGUACAAUAAACCUGACUACCACAUUUCUGGUUGAAAACAUAUUUG
Long non-coding RNA from Lepidothrix coronata (blue-crowned manakin), 451 nucleotides. RefSeq lists it as uncharacterized. The transcript has 4 exons. Lineage: Eukaryota; Metazoa; Chordata; Aves; Passeriformes; Pipridae. The record is from RefSeq and is a predicted model, not a curated record.